GCAGAUCCAUCUGCAUCCAAAGUCCACCGCCUUCUAGCCGAGAAGCUGCGAGCUGACGUUAUGGCAAGCAUUAGGAUGAAGUCCGCGAUGUGUCGCGAAGGCAACCAGAAUCGUAAACUUAGAAACGCCAUAAAUUAACUACUUCCUACCGCAUCAAAACCAAAAAGGGUUGUCACAUGUGAAACUCCAAGACGUGGGCUUGGGCAAACACGAGGACCAGGCAUGCCUUACCAUGUGAGUUCUGUGGUGUCCUUCACGCCGCGCGCCCACACUUUUACUUCCAUGACAUGCACUGACAUGCACUUGCGUUGCCGUGAGCCCUAGCUAAUCGGCGGAAACUGGCGAAAGGAAAGUAAGGUGUCCUUUGAACCUGCUUCCUAGUCUUAACUAGCUUGAGCCUCGAAGAGACACGCUUCCUUGAAACUGGAGAAAAGAGCGAAGCCCCCUGUAAUCACUACACCCCCAUGUGCUGUGGCUUGCGUACGUUGAACCUCGAACCGUAUACAUGGGGUAGCCAGCCGCCCAUCCGGCGAGGAAGUCGUGCAAGGCCCGCGGCGCUCGUAACGGAAGUCCCUGCCGGAUCUGAUUCAUGUGCAAGAACCCCGAACCCUAACCGCGUGUGCAGGAGCCUGGGCCAUUGAGCGAGUUGAGGAAAUCCCCUUUUCCAGGCUAGCGAGGUUUCAGCAUAAAUGACGGUUCAACGUUCGUUGACCAGAGCCAAAUGGGGAGGGUCAUAACAGUUGAUGUUGGUGUUGGUGCCUUUGCGGUGAACGUGCGAGUGCGCGAGUGAAGGGCGCGUAGGGCGGAGGAGAAAAGGGCAGAGAGAGGGGGAAUGCGG
This 838-nucleotide long non-coding RNA is filed under the name Volvox carteri. RNAcentral's name for it is "long non-coding RNA (VCAR_LNC001510)". The record is from RNAcentral. Lineage: Eukaryota; Viridiplantae; Chlorophyta; Chlorophyceae; Chlamydomonadales; Volvocaceae.